Molecule: long non-coding RNA, 792 nt
Organism: Amaranthus tricolor (Joseph's coat)
Lineage: Eukaryota; Viridiplantae; Streptophyta; Magnoliopsida; Caryophyllales; Amaranthaceae
Exons: 3
Source: RefSeq, a predicted model, not a curated record
UUGUCUUCUCUCUAAAUUAAUUUAAUUAAUUUUCAAGUUCAACCAUGUCAUUUGAUUCCAACAUUAGAUUUUUCUUGAAUAUAAAUUGAGUUAAUUUUAAUGGCAACAAUCAAUUUCUUCUCCCCAAAUCAUGUAUUCAAGUUAAUCAGUUCCUAAAAAUUUGACAACGUUCAACAGUGAACGAAUGGUUGGCGUCUUGGCGGUUGCCGGUUGGGUACUCGUUCUCCGAUUCUCGCUGAUCGAGUACCGUUCAGGUGCUAGUCGAGUGUAGUAUCGAUUGCCGGUUGGCUAGUAGUGAAUUGCAGCCUGAGCCUACAGCAAAAGUGGCCCCCACAACAAUGGUUGGAAAGUUGGAAAGGAGAGAAGGACAAAGAGAGGGAGCAAUACUUAGCAUGACUUAUAGUAGCACCAACUGUUGCGGAUAAUUCUGUGGCUUCCAUUAGAUGAUGUACAAGUAUUAUUUUGGAUAAGUGCUGCUUCUUUUGACAUAAGUUUUCUUAUGUUUUGGGCACAAAAUAUAGUGCUAUCUCUUGUAAGUCGUAAUUGUAAACCUAAUUCUGGUUUCCUUCAGAUGAUGUAUCAUUUUUUAUGGUUAGUGCAUUCUUUUUUUUUUUUUUUAAUUUGAGAUUAAAUAGUAGACCGAAAAAAGAAGAAGAUUAGGUGAAAUUUAAUCUCAAGAUCUUAUCUGAAAAAGACGAUACUUAUUCCAAUUACAACCUAAAUCCAAUUACACAAAUUCUAAAUUAGGUCCUCUUUUGAGAGACCGUCUUUUAUAAAAACGACUCUCAAGAG